CGGCAAAAGCUCAAAUUUGAAAUCUGGUCCUAGACCCGUGUUGUAAUUUGUAGAGGAAUGUUCGGCGACGUCUAGGUCUGAGUCUUCUGGAAGGAAGCGCCACUGAGGGUGAGAGCCCCGUAUGGCUGACGACUGAACCAUGUGUACAUCCUUCGA
RNAcentral lists this ribosomal RNA (156 nucleotides) under Microthyriaceae sp. RNAcentral describes it as "partial large subunit ribosomal RNA". Lineage: Eukaryota; Fungi; Ascomycota; Dothideomycetes; Microthyriales; Microthyriaceae. The record is from RNAcentral.